AUUGAACGCUGGCGGCAGGCCUAACACAUGCAAGUCGAGCGGAUGAAGGGAGCUUGCUCCUGGAUUCAGCGGCGGACGGGUGAGUAAUGCCUAGGAAUCUGCCUGGUAGUGGGGGAUAACGUGCGGAAACGGGCGCUAAUACCGCAUACGUCCUGAGGGAGAAAGUGGGGGAUCUUCGGACCUCACGCUAUCAGAUGAGCCUAGGUCGGAUUAGCUAGUUGGUGGGGUAAAGGCCUACCAAGGCGACGAUCCGUAACUGGUCUGAGAGGAUGAUCAGUCACACUGGAACUGAGACACGGUCCAGACUCCUACGGGAGGCAGCAGUGGGGAAUAUUGGACAAUGGGCGAAAGCCUGAUCCAGCCAUGCCGCGUGUGUGAAGAAGGUCUUCGGAUUGUAAAGCACUUUAAGUUGGGAGGAAGGGCAGUAAGUUAAUACCUUGCUGUUUUGACGUUACCAACAGAAUAAGCACCGGCUAACUUCGUG
RNAcentral lists this ribosomal RNA (484 nucleotides) under uncultured bacterium. RNAcentral describes it as "partial 16S ribosomal RNA". It matches the Rfam family "Bacterial small subunit ribosomal RNA", at positions 30 to 507 of the family's 1533-position model. The record is from RNAcentral.